CAGGCCUAACACAUGCAAGUCCGACGUGAAAGGGGAGCAAUCCCCCGGUAGGGUGGCAAACGGGUGAGUAAGACAUGGGUGAUCUGCCCUGGAGAUGGGGAUAUCCCUCCGAAAGGGGGGGCAAUACCGAAUAGUAUCCGGUUCCGUGAAGGGGACCGGGGAAAGGGAGGCCUCUGGUACAAGCUUCCGCUCCUGGAUGAGCCCAUGGCCCAUCAGCUAGUUGGUAGGGUAAAGGCCUACCAAGGCGACGACGGGUAGCUGGUCUGAGAGGACGACCAGCCACACUGGCACUGAGAUACGGGCCAGACUCCUACGGGAGGCAGCAGUGAGGAAUAUUGCGCAAUGGGGGAAACCCUGACGCAGCAACGCCGCGUGUGGGAAGAAGGCCUUCGGGUCGUAAACCACUUUUACUCGGGACGAAAAAGGGAUAUCAAAUAAAUAUCCCCGAUGACGGUACCGUGAGAAUAAGCCACGGCUAACUCUGUGCCAGCAGCCGCGGUAAGACAGAGGUGGCAAGCGUUGUUCGGAAUUACUGGGCGUAAAGAGUCUGUAGGUGGUUUGUCAAGUCUUUGGUGAAAAGCCGUAGCUUAACUAUGGGAAUGCCAAAGAGACUGGCAGGCUGGAGGCUGGGAGAGGGAAGCGGAAUUUCUGGUGUAGCGGUGAAAUGCGUAGAUAUCAGAAGGAAGGCCGGUGGCGAAGGCGGCUUCCUGGAACAGUCCUGACACUGAGAGACGAGAGCGUGGGGAGCAAACAGGAUUAGAUACCCUGGUAGUCCACGCCCUAAACGAUGGGUACUAAGUGUGGAGGGGUUAAACCCUCCGUGCCGCAGCAAACGCAGUAAGUACCCCGCCUGGGAGUACGGCCGCAAGGUUGAAACUCAAGGGAUUGACGGGGGCCGCACAGCGGUGGUGCAUGUGGUUAAUUCGACGCAACGCGAGGAACCUUA
This 946-nucleotide ribosomal RNA is filed under the name uncultured bacterium. RNAcentral's name for it is "bacterial SSU rRNA". It matches the Rfam family "Bacterial small subunit ribosomal RNA", at positions 43 to 973 of the family's 1533-position model. The record is from RNAcentral.